This 497-nucleotide ribosomal RNA is filed under the name uncultured bacterium. RNAcentral's name for it is "partial 16S ribosomal RNA". It matches the Rfam family "Bacterial small subunit ribosomal RNA", at positions 28 to 507 of the family's 1533-position model. The record is from RNAcentral.
GAUGAACGCUGGCGGCGUGCCUAAUACAUGCAAGUCGAGCGAACAGACGAGGAGCUUGCUCCGCUGACGUUAGCGGCGGACGGGUGAGUAACACGUGUAUAACCUACCUAUAAGACUGGGAUAACUUCGGGAAACCGGAGCUAAUACCGUAUAAUAUAUUGAACCGCAUUGUUCAAUAGUGAGAGACGGUGUUGCUGUCACUUAUAGAUGGAUCCGCGCCGCAUUAGCUAGUUGUUAAGUUAACGGCCUACCAAGGCAACGAGGCGUAGCCGACCUGAGGGGGUGGUCGGCCACACUGGAAGUGAGACACGGUCCAGACUACUACGGUAGGCAGCAGUAGGCAAUCGUCCGCAACAGGCGAAAGCAUGACGGAGCAACGCCGAGUGAGUGAUGACGGUCUUCCGAUCGUAAAAAUCUGUUAUUAGGGGAGAACAAAUGUCUACGUAGCUAUGCACGUAUUGACGGUACCUAAUCAGAAAGCCACGGCUAACUACGUG